AUGAGUGAUAAAAAGGUUUUGCAGCAAUUCUUAGGAAUUGUAAACUAUGCACGAAACUAUAUAGAUAACUUAGCAAAGCUAGCAGGACCUUUAUAUGCUAAAUUAAGAAAAAAUGGUCAAAGAUACUUCAAUUCUGAAGAUAUAAAAUUAGUAAAGGCCAUCAAGGAAAAGGUCAAGAAUUUAAAACCCCUAGAAUUGCCUCUAGAAGACAAUUAUUUUAUAAUUGAGACAGAUGCAUCUAAGGUAGGAUGGGGUGCGAUACUAAAACAAAAGCCCAAUAAAUACUCUCCAAAGGCAGACGAAAAAAAUAUGCAGAUAUGCUUCAGGAAGUUACAAAUUAAAGACGGUAAAUAA
Molecule: ribosomal RNA, 354 nt
Filed under: Triticum aestivum (bread wheat)
Lineage: Eukaryota; Viridiplantae; Streptophyta; Magnoliopsida; Poales; Poaceae
Description: partial small subunit ribosomal RNA
Source: RNAcentral